AGCGAACGCUGGCGGCGGGCCUAACACAUGCAAGUCGAACGAAAACUUCGGAGUUAGUGGCGGACGGGGGGGUAACACGUGGGAACGAGCACGUAGGUUCGGAAUAACUGAGGGUAACAUGUGCUAAUGACGAAUGUGCCCAUCGGGGGAAAGAUUUAUCGCCUUUGGAGCGGCCCUGGUCAGAUUAGGCAGUUGGGGAGGUAAAGGCGCACCAAGGCGACGAUCCGGAGCUGGUCUGAGAGGAUGCUCUGCCACAUUGGGGCUGCGACCCGGCCCACACUCCUACGGGAGGCAGCAGUGGGGAAUCUUGCGCACUGGGCCAAAGCCUGACGCAGCCAUGUCGCGUGAAUGAUGAAGGUCUUAGGAUUGUAAAUUUCUUUCACCCGGGACGAUAGUGACGGUACCCGGUGAAGAAGCCCCGGCUAACUUCGUG
This 433-nucleotide ribosomal RNA is filed under the name uncultured bacterium. Its description in RNAcentral is "partial 16S ribosomal RNA". It matches the Rfam family "Bacterial small subunit ribosomal RNA", at positions 29 to 507 of the family's 1533-position model. The record is from RNAcentral.